This 253-nucleotide ribosomal RNA is filed under the name uncultured bacterium. RNAcentral describes it as "partial 16S ribosomal RNA". It matches the Rfam family "Bacterial small subunit ribosomal RNA", at positions 524 to 776 of the family's 1533-position model. The record is from RNAcentral.
GACGAACCGUCCUAACGUUGUUCGGAAUCACUGGGCUUAAAGGGCGCGUAGGCGGACUCUAAAGUCAGGGGUGAAAUCUUUCGGCCCAACCGGAAAAGUGCUUCUGAUACUGAGAGUCUCGAGGGAGGUAGGGGCGCGUGGAACUAUUGGUGGAGCGGUGAAAUGCGUAGAUAUCAAUAGGAACGCCGGUGGCGAAAGCGACGCGCUGGACCUUUUCUGACGCUGAGGCGCGAAAGCCAGGGGAGCAAACGGG